RNAcentral lists this ribosomal RNA (253 nucleotides) under uncultured Rikenellaceae bacterium. RNAcentral's name for it is "partial 16S ribosomal RNA". It matches the Rfam family "Bacterial small subunit ribosomal RNA", at positions 524 to 776 of the family's 1533-position model. The record is from RNAcentral. Lineage: Bacteria; Pseudomonadati; Bacteroidota; Bacteroidia; Bacteroidales; Rikenellaceae.
UACGGAGGAUCCGAGCGUUAUCCGGAUUCAUUGGGUUUAAAGGGUGCGUAGGUUGUUUUAUAAGUUAGCGGUGAAAUACCGAUGCUCAACAUCGGGGCUGCCGCUAAUACUGUAGGACUAGAGAUCGGAUGCAGCAGGCGGAAUGUGUAGUGUAGCGGUGAAAUGCAUAGAUAUUACACAGAACACCGAUUGCGAAGGCAGCUUGCCGGCCCCACACUGACGCUGAGGCACGAAAGCGUGGGUAUCGAACAGG